UUUCCCACCUUCCCAUCUCCACACUUGCAGCCAGCAGCACAAAAAGGGAGAAAUGACUCCAAGAAGCAGGUGUCAGUGGUUAAGGAGUGUCCUGGCUGGCAUUGCUGGUGGAGCAAGGUGCAGGACCUGAGGCUGUGACCUUUCUAGGAUGAGUGAUCCAACCCUGAGCACAGCCCUGCAAGGACAAGAAAGCUGCGAAGCACAGUGAGUCACACAACCAAGGUCACAACCAUGCACAAUGACACUUUGCAUCUGAUGGGUCCCUGUCUCUGCUGGCUGCACCACAGAAGACAACAUGGUCCUUCAGGACUAUAAGGUCAGCAGGAAGCCACCAGCUUCUCCCAUUUUCCAGGAACAGUUCAUCAUGGAUGCUCCUGAGAAGCUUGGUGCUGCAGGAUGGGCAUGCAGGGACACCAGGAAUCUGUUGCCUUUGCACUCCACAGCCAUUUGCCUUCAAGGUAACAUUAAUAGGGGUAUUUUCAAGAGGUUGGGGGUGGGGGAAACCCUUGGCAGUUGAAAAGGCUUCUGAGAUGGGCGUUGUUUAGAGACACACAAGAAGCACAAUUAGGAUUUUAUUGCUUGGCUGCUCCCUCCUCUGUGUGUUCAUAAACAACCUAAAUGUCUUUAAAACCAAGUAAAAGCCACCUCUGCAGCCCUGCUGGCUC
Molecule: long non-coding RNA, 665 nt
Organism: Pogoniulus pusillus (Red-fronted tinkerbird)
Lineage: Eukaryota; Metazoa; Chordata; Aves; Piciformes; Lybiidae
Exons: 4
Source: RefSeq, a predicted model, not a curated record